GGACCCGCACAAGCGGUGGAGCAUGUGGUUUAAUUCGAUGCAACGCGAAAAACCUUACCUACUCUUGACAUACUUGGAAGCUCUUGUAAUGAGAGUGUGCCUUUUGGAGCCAAGAUACAGGUGCUGCAUGGCUGUCGUCAGCUCGUGUCGUGAGAUGUUCCGUUAAGUCGGAUAACGAGCGCAACCCUUACCCUUAUUUGCCAGCGAUUCGGUCGGGAACUAUAAGGGGACUGCCGGUGAUAAACCGGAGGAAGGUGAGGACGACGUCAAGUCAUCAUGGCCCUUACGAGUAGGGCUACACACGUGCUACAAUGCUACGGACAAAGGGCGCAAGUUCGCGAGGACAAGCA
Molecule: ribosomal RNA, 350 nt
Filed under: uncultured bacterium
Lineage: Bacteria
Description: bacterial SSU rRNA
Rfam family: Bacterial small subunit ribosomal RNA
Source: RNAcentral